RNAcentral lists this small RNA (493 nucleotides) under Pan troglodytes (chimpanzee). Its description in RNAcentral is "processed transcript". The record is from RNAcentral. Lineage: Eukaryota; Metazoa; Chordata; Mammalia; Primates; Hominidae.
GUGACUUCAUGUUGAAGGUGCCAAGAACAACUUCAGCUCUCCAGUCUCUGAGGAAAUGUUUGUUUUUGUACUUACACCUCUCAUUGAACCUCACGUUCCUCUUCGUCCUGCUAACACCAUUACCAAGGUCCCUUCAGAGAAGAUCCUCAGAGCUGGAAAAAUUUUACGAAAUGCCAUUCUCUCUCGAGCACCUCACAUGAUAAGAGAUAGAAAAUACCACCUAAAGACAUACAGACAAUGCUGUGUGGGAACUGAGCUGGUGGACUGGAUGAUGCAGCAGACACCAUGUGUUCACUCCCGGACUCAAGCUGUUGGCAUGUGGCAAGUCCUGUUAGAAGAUGGUGUUCUCAACCACGUGGACCAGGAGCACCAUUUCCAAGACAAAUAUUUAUUCUAUCGAUUUCUGGAUGACGAGCACGAGGAUGCCCCUUUGCCUACUGAGGAGGAGAAGAAGGAGUGUGAUGAGGAGCUCCAGGACACCAUGCUGCUACUG